UACAAAGCGAACGACCAUUAGCUAAUUCCAAUUUGAAAAUUUAGCUAAAGUCAAAGUCAUUUUGAACAAAUGUUUCCUGUACGCGUUACCGUUUGGCAUGGACGAACGUCUCGGACGUUGAUGUCCGUACAUUUAUAUAUAUAUAUGUAGUAUCGUGGACAAAAGGCCUAAGAUAUCUGCCGAAUCGUAAACAAUGUCGCGAGAGCCGCGGCAUCGUCGGGUACAUCAAUGUGGUGUAACGUAAAUCACGUCAGAGACCAGGACACUGUAACCCCAAACUCUUUUGCCCUGAUGUCACCUUAGGCGACCACUUCUAAACAUUCUCCAGACAGCCGAUACUUGAACAUUACACAUGGCGACCUUUGCGACAAUGUAUAUUGCCGGAGUGCCUGAGGGUUCAUCUGUGUCCUAACGGUCCUUCCACCGAAUGUUCUGGAAGCGUGGCAGCGGUCGCGUGCGCC
RNAcentral lists this unclassified non-coding RNA (461 nucleotides) under Bombus terrestris (buff-tailed bumblebee). Its description in RNAcentral is "misc RNA ENSBTSG00005024409.1". Lineage: Eukaryota; Metazoa; Arthropoda; Insecta; Hymenoptera; Apidae. The record is from RNAcentral.